GAUGAACGCUGGCGGCGUGCCUAACACAUGCCAGUCGAGCGAACAGAUGAGGAGCUUGCUCCUCUGACGUUAGCGGCGGACGGGAGAGUAACACGUGGAUAACCUACCUAUAAGACUGGGAUACCUUCGCGAAACCGGAGCUAAUACCGGAUAAUAUAUUGAACUGCAUGGUUCAAUAGUGAAAGACGGUUUUGCUGUGACUUAUAGACGGAUCCGCGCCGCAUUAGCUAGUUGGUAAGGUAACGGCUUACCAAGGCAACGAUGCGUAGCCGACCUGAGAGGGUGAUCGGCCACACUGGAAGUGAGGCACGGUCCACACUCCUACGGGAGGCAGCAGUCGGGAAUCUUCCGCGAUGGGCGAGAGCCUGACGGAGCAACGGCGCGUGAGUGAUGAAGGUCUUCGGAUCGUAAAACUAUGUUAUUAGGGAAGAACAAAUGUGUAAGUAACUAUGAACGUCUUGACGGUACCUGAUCAGAAAGCCACGGCUAACUACGUG
Molecule: ribosomal RNA, 497 nt
Filed under: uncultured bacterium
Lineage: Bacteria
Description: partial 16S ribosomal RNA
Rfam family: Bacterial small subunit ribosomal RNA
Source: RNAcentral